UUCAUUCAUCAUGUCAUCCAAACUCAAAAUCCUAAUUCUCUAGUUAUCAUUUUUUCUCACCCUUUGGAUGCCAAAAGAUGAAAACAAAAAUCAGGUUAGCUUUUCUCUUUCACAACUUUUCUUCUUUUUUUUUUUUAAUUCCUCACCUUUUUCUUGCCUAGGGGUGCCUGGUGCCGCCCUGCAUGGGCCUCGUCUGAGCACCUAGUUGAAGACACCUUGCCUGGAGGCGUCCCAGGCAAGGUUGCCCAACCAAGGCACCUGGGCAAGCGCCUGGGCACCUCUUGACAAACACUAGUUG
This 298-nucleotide unclassified non-coding RNA is filed under the name Hevea brasiliensis (rubber tree). The record is from RNAcentral. Lineage: Eukaryota; Viridiplantae; Streptophyta; Magnoliopsida; Malpighiales; Euphorbiaceae.